AGCGGCGGACGGGUGAGUAACACGUGGGCAACCUGCCUGUAAGACUGGGAUAACUUCGGGAAACCGGAGCUAAUACCGGAUAAUCCUUUCCCUCACAUGAGGGAAAGCUGAAAGACGGUUUCGGCUGUCACUUACAGAUGGGCCCGCGGCGCAUUAGCUAGUUGGUGAGGUAACGGCUCACCAAGGCAACGAUGCGUAGCCGACCUGAGAGGGUGAUCGGCCACACUGGGACUGAGACACGGCCCAGACUCCUACGGGAGGCAGCAGUAGGGAAUCUUCCGCAAUGGACGAAAGUCUGACGGAGCAACGCCGCGUGAGCGAUGAAGGCCUUCGGGUCGUAAAGCUCUGUUGUCAGGGAAGAACAAGUACCGGAGUAACUGCCGGUACCUUGACGGUACCUGACCAGAAAGCCACGGCUAACUACGUGCCAGCAGCCGCGGUAAUACGUAGGUGGCAAGCGUUGUCCGGAAUUAUUGGGCGUAAAGCGCGCGCAGGCGGUUCCUUAAGUCUGAUGUG
RNAcentral lists this ribosomal RNA (516 nucleotides) under marine sediment bacterium BB0608_2216_7.1_8G0. RNAcentral describes it as "bacterial SSU rRNA". It matches the Rfam family "Bacterial small subunit ribosomal RNA", at positions 94 to 596 of the family's 1533-position model. The record is from RNAcentral.